CUCUCUCUCUCUGUCGGUCUCUCAUGAAUAAAUAAAUGAAAUCGAAGGAAAGAAAGAGAAAGAAAAGAAAAGAAAAGAAAAGAGAAGAAAAGAAAAGAAAGAAAGAAAGAAAGAAAGAAACCGAGGUGUGAGCAGAACAGUAAGACAGAAAUCCAAAAAAAAAAAAAAAAAAAAGGCAGAAAUCCAACAGUUCUCUUCUGGAACCAUCAGCAUCCGAAUCCGGAAUCGAAAACUGCUCGGUCUGGGUCUCUGCAGGAGAAUCGCCAUCGCUGAUGAUGGUGCCAGCGAGAAGGGUUAGCGCCGCUCCAAAGAAGCUCGAGUCCGGAUUUCCCUCCUCGGCUUUCGGCUGGGGAGGUGAUGCCGGGGUCCGGGGAUCGAGUCCCGCAUCGGGCUCCCUCUGCCCGGGUCUCUGCCUCUCUCUGGGUAUCGCAUGAAUAAAUACAUAAAAUCUAAACACAAAACAAAAACCGUCACCAACAACCCCCUCCACACACACACACACACACACACCUUGUUCCAGGCCCAGGCUCCAAAGAUAGACAAAGGUGUUAGAGGUGGGUCUCCCUGAAGGGCCUCCAAGGUCCUUCCCGGAGCCAGGCCUCCAGCCGUCCGCACCAGGCCGAUUUUUCUCAGACCAGACACCCACCACCCAUAGGGAGUCAAAAUGAGAACUUCAGUCCUUUGUAUUAUUACCCUCCUGGAAAGAAUUCCUACAUUCAGGCAUACCCAGCGUUCAUGCUUUUAGACCGGUGAUCUUACUAUGGACGCUUAUUAAAAGGCCCCUGAUAAAUCAGAGGCCUGCGGGAGGUCCCCACCCCCUUACCUGGCCGAGUGGCACAGCAGAGAGCUGGGGGGGCCUCCGAUACCCGCACAGGCUGCAGAACCCAGAGCUUGGAGACCUGGUCUGGCUUGGAACAAGGGGUCGCUGCUGCCACCGCCGGUGGACACUGGGUUGGGUGGUGCAUGCCAACACCAGCAGGUGGCGGUUGGGGUGGGGGGGGGUUAGCAGGUCCCUGGGUCUCAUCGCCCACUCGUGGUCCACUCCCCAGGUGGGAGGCAGAGGAGGAUGUCCUCAUCAGCAUCCUGCUUGAGCAGGAGAAGAGCCACUUCUCACUAUGAAAGUACCUCGGGGGGAUUCCCGUUAAAUAAAACUGCUUGGCGAUGACCUAAUUUGUUCGUUCAAGAGGAUAAACUCUUCUUAUCCAUACAUUAUUAUUGUUGUUAUGGUUUCCGGCGUUAAAUUAUACAUAAAAGGCCCAAGCCUGUUUCAGAAAUAAAACAUUUUCAGAA
Molecule: long non-coding RNA, 1290 nt
Organism: Canis lupus familiaris (dog)
Lineage: Eukaryota; Metazoa; Chordata; Mammalia; Carnivora; Canidae
Exons: 2
Source: RefSeq, a predicted model, not a curated record